Molecule: transfer RNA, 74 nt
Filed under: Mycoplasmopsis californica
Lineage: Bacteria; Bacillati; Mycoplasmatota; Mycoplasmoidales; Metamycoplasmataceae
Also listed under: 1 other name
Description: Mycoplasma californicum tRNA-Gly(tcc)
Rfam family: tRNA
About the family: Transfer RNA (tRNA) molecules are approximately 80 nucleotides in length. Their secondary structure includes four short double-helical elements and three loops (D, anti-codon, and T loops).
Source: RNAcentral
GCGAGUGUAGUUCAAUGGUAGAACUUCAGCCUUCCAAGCUGACUAUGAGGGUUCGAUUCCCUUCACUCGCUCCA